This 460-nucleotide ribosomal RNA is filed under the name uncultured marine microorganism. RNAcentral describes it as "bacterial SSU rRNA". It matches the Rfam family "Bacterial small subunit ribosomal RNA", at positions 355 to 830 of the family's 1533-position model. The record is from RNAcentral.
UGGGGAAUUUUCCGCAAUGGGGGAAAGCCUGACGGAGCAAUACCGCGUGAGGGAGGAAUGCCUUUGGGUUGUAAACCUCUUUUUUCAGGGAAGAAGAUCUGACGGUACCUGAGGAAUAAGUAUCGGCUAACUCCGUGCCAGCAGCCGCGGUAAUACGGAGGACGCAAGCGUUAUCCGGAAUCAUUGGGCGUAAAGCGUCCGCAGGUGGUUUCCAAAGUCUGCUGUUAAAGACUGGAGCUCAACCCCGGAACGGCGGUGGAAACUUGGAAACUAGAGUUCGGUAGGGGUAGCAGGAAUUCCCAGUGUAGCGGUGAAAUGCGUAGAUAUUGGGAAGAACAUCGGUGGCGAAGGCGUGCUACUGGACCGUAACUGACACUCAGGGACGAAAGCUAGGGGAGCGAAAGGGAUUAGAUACCCCUGUAGUCCUAGCUGUAAACGAUGGAAACUAGGUGUGGCUUGA